GCGGGUGUGGUGGAAUUGGUAGACACGCUGGAUUUAGGUUCCAGUGGCUCGCGCCGUGGGGGUUCAAGUCCCUCCACCCGCACCA
This 85-nucleotide transfer RNA is filed under the name Phyllobacteriaceae bacterium. RNAcentral describes it as "tRNA-Leu". It matches the Rfam family "tRNA". From Rfam's summary of the family: Transfer RNA (tRNA) molecules are approximately 80 nucleotides in length. RNAcentral also lists the same sequence under 1 other name. Lineage: Bacteria; Pseudomonadati; Pseudomonadota; Alphaproteobacteria; Hyphomicrobiales; Phyllobacteriaceae. The record is from RNAcentral.